UCCCUUAUAGCUCAGUUGGUAAAGUAUCUGUCUGCAAUGCAGAAGACCCGGGUUCAAUACCUGGGUCAGGAA
Molecule: transfer RNA, 72 nt
Filed under: Bos taurus (domestic cattle)
Lineage: Eukaryota; Metazoa; Chordata; Mammalia; Artiodactyla; Bovidae
Also listed under: 3 other names
Rfam family: tRNA
About the family: Transfer RNA (tRNA) molecules are approximately 80 nucleotides in length. Their secondary structure includes four short double-helical elements and three loops (D, anti-codon, and T loops). Further hydrogen bonds mediate the characteristic L-shaped molecular structure. tRNAs have two regions of fundamental functional importance: the anti-codon, which is responsible for specific mRNA codon recognition, and the 3' end, to which the tRNAs corresponding amino acid is attached (by aminoacyl-tRNA synthetases). tRNAs cope with the degeneracy of the genetic code in two manners: having more than one tRNA (with a specific anti-codon) for a particular amino acid; and 'wobble' base-pairing, i.e. permitting non-standard base-pairing at the 3rd anti-codon position.
Source: Rfam by way of RNAcentral